This 31-nucleotide small RNA is filed under the name Bombyx mori (domestic silkworm). RNAcentral describes it as "ovarian small RNA-4931". Lineage: Eukaryota; Metazoa; Arthropoda; Insecta; Lepidoptera; Bombycidae. The record is from RNAcentral.
CUAUCUCGGCCGCUGUGCAUUCGGUGCACGC